CGGCCGGGCACGUGUCUAGGUGGAUCACACGCGUUCGUGCAAAUCACAAGGAACAUCCAAAAGAGAAAAAUAUCGAGGCGAGCUGGGGAGUGACUUCAGAAGGAAAGGAAAAUGGAAAGUAAUAAGAGGAAAACUGAUAAGGAACUCUUGCAUGAAGUGUGGAGACUCCUGAUCAGACAACAUUUAAUCGAAGGAAACCACGAGGGAGAACUAGUCUCCCUGGCAAUAGUAGACGAUAAAGUGUAUGUUCUACCAGACAAAGGAACAGGAUAUGUAACAGAUAAAAGAGAAUUCACAGGGGAUCAAUGGAGAUGUCUGUGUUAGAAGCUGCAUUGUUGGCCGAAAAUAAGCCAAUGUAUCUACCAGGUUACGGUCCGAAGAGUCCAAUGUCAACAACAGCUGUAAUCGAGUAUAGGUCAAGGAACAUGAACAAAGACUUGGGAAACACGGAGGCGAGGGCCACAGGCGAGUCCAAGUCAAGCAAAUUGACUGGAGGCGAGACGAAUGGCGGCGAGAUAAGUGCAGGCGGG
Molecule: long non-coding RNA, 530 nt
Organism: Diachasma alloeum
Lineage: Eukaryota; Metazoa; Arthropoda; Insecta; Hymenoptera; Braconidae
Exons: 3
Source: RefSeq, a predicted model, not a curated record